This 209-nucleotide ribosomal RNA is filed under the name Polytomella parva. RNAcentral describes it as "partial Eukaryotic large subunit ribosomal RNA". Lineage: Eukaryota; Viridiplantae; Chlorophyta; Chlorophyceae; Chlamydomonadales; Chlamydomonadaceae. The record is from RNAcentral.
GAGGAUAAGGAUCAUGAAGAGAGAGUAAAAGUAAAACGGGAAAUUACCAUGACAAAAGUGGAUGGAGUGGGGAGAGGUUUUUAGGGUUAUUUAUUUUAGCCUUGAGCUUGAUCUUCAUUUUUAUUUUUACUUCCAAUUUUGAUCUCCAGCUUAAAAUUUAUUUUCUUUGCAUAAAGGUCUUUCGUCAGGCAUUGGGAUUACCACACUGC